UAAGCGACUAAGCGUACACGGUGAUGCCUGGCAGUCAGAGGCGAUGAAGGACGUGCUAAUCUGCGAUAAGCGUCGGUAAGGUGAUAUGAACCGUUAUAACCGGCGAUUUCCGAAUGGGGAAACCCAGUGUGAUUCGUCACACUAUCAUUAACUGAAUCCAUAGGUUAAUGAGGCGAACCGGGGGAACUGAAACAUCUAAGUACCCCGAGGAAAAGAAAUCAACCGAGAUUCCCCCAGUAGCGGCGAGCGAACGGGGAGCAGCCCAGAGCCUGAAUCAGUGUGUGUGUUAGUGGAAGCGUCUGGAAAGGCGCGCGAUACAGGGUGACAGCCCCGUACACAAAAAUGCACAUGCUGUGAGCUCGAUGAGUAGGGCGGGACACGUGGUAUCCUGUCUGAAUAUGGGGGGACCAUCCUCCAAGGCUAAAUACUCCUGACUGACCGAUAGUGAACCAGUACCGUGAGGGAAAGGCGAAAAGAACCCCGGCGAGGGGAGUGAAAAAGAACCUGAAACCGUGUACGUACAAGCAGUGGGAGCACGCUUAGGCGUGUGACUGCGUACCUUUUGUAUAAUGGGUCAGCGACUUAUAUUCUGUAGCAAGGUUAACCGAAUAGGGGAGCCGAAGGGAAACCGAGUCUUAACUGGGCGUUAAGUUGCAGGGUAUAGACCCGAAACCCGGUGAUCUAGCCAUGGGCAGGUUGAAGGUUGGGUAACACUAACUGGAGGACCGAACCGACUAAUGUUGAAAAAUUAGCGGAUGACUUGUGGCUGGGGGUGAAAGGCCAAUCAAACCGGGAGAUAGCUGGUUCUCCCCGAAAGCUAUUUAGGUAGCGCCUCGUGAAUUCAUCUCCGGGGGUAGAGCACUGUUUCGGCAAGGGGGUCAUCCCGACUUACCAACCCGAUGCAAACUGCGAAUACCGGAGAAUGUUAUCACGGGAGACACACGGCGGGUGCUAACGUCCGUCGUGAAGAGGGAAACAACCCAGACCGCCAGCUAAGGUCCCAAAGUCAUGGUUAAGUGGGAAACGAUGUGGGAAGGCCCAGACAGCCAGGAUGUUGGCUUAGAAGCAGCCAUCAUUUAAAGAAAGCGUAAUAGCUCACUGGUCGAGUCGGCCUGCGCGGAAGAUGUAACGGGGCUAAACCAUGCACCGAAGCUGCGGCAGCGACGCUGAUGCGUUGUUGGGUAGGGGAGCGUUCUGUAAGCCUGCGAAGGUGUGCUGUGAGGCAUGCUGGAGGUAUCAGAAGUGCGAAUGCUGACAUAAGUAACGAUAAAGCGGGUGAAAAGCCCGCUCGCCGGAAGACCAAGGGUUCCUGUCCAACGUUAAUCGGGGCAGGGUGAGUCGACCCCUAAGGCGAGGCCGAAAGGCGUAGUCGAUGGGAAACAGGUUAAUAUUCCUGUACUUGGUGUUACUGCGAAGGGGGGACGGAGAAGGCUAUGUUGGCCGGGCGACGGUUGUCCCGGUUUAAGCGUGUAGGCUGGUUUUCCAGGCAAAUCCGGAAAAUCAAGGCUGAGGCGUGAUGACGAGGCACUACGGUGCUGAAGCAACAAAUGCCCUGCUUCCAGGAAAAGCCUCUAAGCAUCAGGUAACAUCAAAUCGUACCCCAAACCGACACAGGUGGUCAGGUAGAGAAUACCAAGGCGCUUGAGAGAACUCGGGUGAAGGAACUAGGCAAAAUGGUGCCGUAACUUCGGGAGAAGGCACGCUGAUAUGUAGGUGAAGUCCCUCGCGGAUGGAGCUGAAAUCAGUCGAAGAUACCAGCUGGCUGCAACUGUUUAUUAAAAACACAGCACUGUGCAAACACGAAAGUGGACGUAUACGGUGUGACGCCUGCCCGGUGCCGGAAGGUUAAUUGAUGGGGUUAGCGCAAGCGAAGCUCUUGAUCGAAGCCCCGGUAAACGGCGGCCGUAACUAUAACGGUCCUAAGGUAGCGAAAUUCCUUGUCGGGUAAGUUCCGACCUGCACGAAUGGCGUAAUGAUGGCCAGGCUGUCUCCACCCGAGACUCAGUGAAAUUGAACUCGCUGUGAAGAUGCAGUGUACCCGCGGCAAGACGGAAAGACCCCGUGAACCUUUACUAUAGCUUGACACUGAACAUUGAGCCUUGAUGUGUAGGAUAGGUGGGAGGCUUUGAAGUGUGGACGCCAGUCUGCAUGGAGCCGACCUUGAAAUACCACCCUUUAAUGUUUGAUGUUCUAACGUGGACCCGUAAUCCGGGUUGCGGACAGUGUCUGGUGGGUAGUUUGACUGGGGCGGUCUCCUCCUAAAGAGUAACGGAGGAGCACGAAGGUUGGCUAAUCCUGGUCGGACAUCAGGAGGUUAGUGCAAUGGCAUAAGCCAGCUUGACUGCGAGCGUGACGGCGCGAGCAGGUGCGAAAGCAGGUCAUAGUGAUCCGGUGGUUCUGAAUGGAAGGGCCAUCGCUCAACGGAUAAAAGGUACUCCGGGGAUAACAGGCUGAUACCGCCCAAGAGUUCAUAUCGACGGCGGUGUUUGGCACCUCGAUGUCGGCUCAUCACAUCCUGGGGCUGAAGUAGGUCCCAAGGGUAUGGCUGUUCGCCAUUUAAAGUGGUACGCGAGCUGGGUUUAGAACGUCGUGAGACAGUUCGGUCCCUAUCUGCCGUGGGCGCUGGAGAAUUGAGGGGGGCUGCUCCUAGUACGAGAGGACCGGAGUGGACGCAUCACUGGUGUUCGGGUUGUCAUGCCAAUGGCACUGCCCGGUAGCUAAAUGCGGAAGAGAUAAGUGCUGAAAGCAUCUAAGCACGAAACUUGCCCCGAGAUGAGUUCUCCCUGACUCCUUGAGAGUCCUGAAGGAACGUUGAAGACGACGACGUUGAUAGGCCGGGUGUGUAAGCGCAGCGAUGCGUUGAGCUAACCGGUACUAAUGAACCGUGAGGCUUAACCU
This 2898-nucleotide ribosomal RNA is filed under the name Escherichia coli DEC14D. RNAcentral describes it as "bacterial LSU rRNA". It matches the Rfam family "Bacterial large subunit ribosomal RNA". Lineage: Bacteria; Pseudomonadati; Pseudomonadota; Gammaproteobacteria; Enterobacterales; Enterobacteriaceae. The record is from RNAcentral.